This is a non-coding RNA of Peromyscus maniculatus bairdii (prairie deer mouse), 1804 nucleotides long. NCBI's taxonomy places the organism in Eukaryota, Metazoa, Chordata, Mammalia, Rodentia, Cricetidae. The record is from RefSeq and is a predicted model, not a curated record.
GUCACGCUAAGAGAAAGGGGCUGGAUACAGAGACAACCAUCCAGGGAAGACAGCCAUGUAAAGGUAGAGGCAGGAUUGGAUUUAUUUGUCAACAAAGCCCAGGAUACCAAGAGCUCUCAGGUCACACAGAGCUGGGGAGAGGCAAGGAAACAUUCAACACAGCCUCUGGAGAACAUGUGGCCCUGUUGGCUCUUCCAUUGGGGAUUUUAUCCCUCAGAACUCCACAGGUCCCUGGAGCGUUGGAACCUUGGAAAGUGAAGAGCCAAUACAAGGACCAAGUUGGAAGUCGAGGCAACCAGAAGUCACAACACAGGCUUGAGGCAUGCCUGCACCAUCCAGCAGCGACGCAUGUGAGCAGAGCUCCUCAGAGCCCUGGUCACUCACAAGAAAUAGAAAUCUACGUGAAAGAACUGCCACACAUUUUGGCCCAAAUCACCAUUUCUCGUGCUGAGAUUAAAGGCGUGCACUUCCACUGCCUGGUUACUGUGGGUCCCUUGAGAUCUCAACACACUAGCAUAAUUUCCAUGAGACUUUCCUGGACCCAGUCAGUGUCCAUGAAAAGAAAGUAGAGGAGAGUGAUUGCAGACGCCCCAGGAGAGGUCUUCUUGGAGGAUGACGAAGUAUCUAUGGAUGUCACUCAGCACACAUUAGUUGUACUAGUUCAUUUCCGAAUCCCAGGAGUAAGAGUAAAGCUACAGUAAUUUGUACCUACCAUGUCUCCCGGAGGGACUGGACCACCCAUGAUCUCAGGGAGAGCAAGUCUGGGUUGUUGGAUUCAUCAUUAUUGUGCCUCCACCUAAAUCUGCCUGUGACGGAACAUAUCACAGAUUGGACACAUCAUCUCUAGGCUGUCCGGUGAAGUUUUGAUCCAGCAAGAAUUUGAAACUGUUGAAAAGGAAGACGAAGCUGAUGCAAGCAGGGAAAGAAAAUGAAAGAGCAUCAUGGGAGAAUCUAGAUAGGCUAGCAAAGCAGUCAGGGAAGAUCAUAAGCAAUUCAAGAUACGAGGGGGCGGAAACUAAGGGGACGCCAAAGAUGGUUCCAAGGCACUCAGUUGCCCAAGAUGGGCCUCUCAACCCAACCAGCCCACAAAGAAGUCCUGCAUUUUUCACACUCCUUAAAUCCGGAUGGGUGUCAUGAGCUGUUGAAUAUGAUGUGUAUGACUGUGUGGCCUUCAAGGAUAGGGCAUACAAAGCUUUGACACAUUUGAAAGGGCCCAUUGGAAUGUUCUCAGAUCUCUUCAGCCAUCAAGGUCUACACACAGCUACUCAAGACAACAGCCUCACCUGAACUCCCAGCCUGCGGCCAAUGCUAGCCACCGGAGCUCGCUGUCUUGGAGUCGGUCUCACCCAGCUUCUAUUCAACUGCAGCUACCUAAAACAGCUCUGGGAGACAAUCUAGUUAAGCUACAGAACCACUGGAGUGAGCAAUAGUGAUUAUUUGGGGCCACUACAUUUCUGAGUAGUUUAUUGUGCAAUAACAGAUAGCAAGAGCAUGUCCAUGUGUAGGGAGAGAUUGCUGGGCCCUGGCCCCCCAUUUUGGGUAGCUGCCGCCUUGCUUGCUGACCUUGACCAGAUGUCCUCCCUAUGGUGAUUCCCUGCCGGUUUCCUUCUUCUGAAAGCUCACGGGAGGUUCUUAGUUCGUGUAUCCUGCAUUUGGUGUAAACAGCUUAGAUGCAAGAAUGUAGAACUUUGGGUAGCACACUUCUGCCCUCCCUCCGGGGAUCCUCCAUUGUGCUGUAAGCCUGUAUUUAAGGUUUCCUCCCUCCUUCAAUAAACAACAUUCAGCAUUCUGCUGGGACGAAUGA